Long non-coding RNA from Orcinus orca (killer whale), 360 nucleotides. RefSeq lists it as uncharacterized. Lineage: Eukaryota; Metazoa; Chordata; Mammalia; Artiodactyla; Delphinidae. The transcript has 3 exons. The record is from RefSeq and is a predicted model, not a curated record.
AUCUACAGUUCUGCAGGUCAGAGUAUUAUGACGCGGUGCUCAGAGGAAUAGCAUAAACCAAACCUGGAACAUCGUGCCCAGUGAUGGAUCCCACAUAGUAGAAGACAAACUAAAGAGAUGCCGUUUGCGACGAUACGGACGGACCCGGAAGAUAUUAAGUGAAAUAAGCCUGACACAGGAAAACAAACACUAUAUGACGUCAUCGAUAUUGAGAACCUCAUAAAGUCAAAGCCAUAGAAGCAGAGAGGAGAAAGGACACAGCGAGAAGACCACCAUCUUCAAACCAGGAAGGACGUGGCCCUUGCCAAAUCUGCAGACACCUUGAUCUCCAGAACUGUGAGAAAUAAAGGUCUGUUGUUU